Molecule: ribosomal RNA, 549 nt
Filed under: Triticum aestivum (bread wheat)
Lineage: Eukaryota; Viridiplantae; Streptophyta; Magnoliopsida; Poales; Poaceae
Description: partial small subunit ribosomal RNA
Source: RNAcentral
AUGUUUUCGGUGGGAGACUCGGUGUAUUUGAAGCUCCAGCCAUAUGCUCAACACACUGUAGUCAACCGACCAUGUGCAAAAUUAGCAUACAAGUUCUAUGGGCCUUUUGAAGUUUUGGAACAGAUUGGACCGGCUGCUUACAAACUUCAGCUACCUAUAGCAGCCCAGAUCCACCCCGUGUUUCACGUCUCUCAACUCAAAGAAUUUGUACCAGAUCAUACACCGGUCUUUUCCACUGUGCCUGCCCCAGUUGAUUUUUCCAGUAUGGACAUGCAGCCAGGUAUGAUCUUCGACAGGAAAUUUGUCAAAAAAGGUGACCGUGCAUUGUUGCAGGUUUUGGUACAGUGGACAGGACUUCCAGCCAAGGCAGCCACCUGGGAGGAUUAUGAUACAAUCAAGCUUCGCUACCCUACUGCUCCAGCCUGGGGUCAGGCUGAAUCUCAAGAGGGCGGCACUGUCAGCACUAAUGCUCUGUUGCUGAUGAAAGGUGCAUUAGGGAGCAGACAGGAGAAGAAGGGGACAUAUACUAAGUGGCAGGCCAGAAGUUAA